GAUCCUGCUCAGGAUGAACGCUAGCUACAGGCUUAACACAUGCAAGUCGAGGGGCAGCAUGAACUUAGCUUGCUAAGUUUGAUGGCGACCGGCGCACGGGUGAGUAACACGUAUCCAACCUUCCGUUUACUCAGGGAUAGCCUUUCGAAAGAAAGAUUAAUACCUGAUAGUAUGGUGAGAUUGCAUGAUAGCACCAUUAAAGAUUUAUUGGUAAACGAUGGGGAUGCGUUCCA
RNAcentral lists this ribosomal RNA (233 nucleotides) under uncultured bacterium. RNAcentral's name for it is "partial 16S ribosomal RNA". It matches the Rfam family "Bacterial small subunit ribosomal RNA", at positions 15 to 240 of the family's 1533-position model. The record is from RNAcentral.